AGGUCUGUUACUGGGUUUUCUGUUCUUCUGGGUGGUUCUUUGGUCAGCUGGAAAUCUAAGAAACAACCUGUUGUAUCUUUAUCAUCUGCUGAGGCAGAGUAUCGGGCUUUAAGCAAACUUGUGGCUGAACUUUCCUGGUUAUCUCGCUUAUUAUCUGAUCUUGGUGUUCCUAUUUCUCUCCCAAUUUCUGUAUACUGUGAUAGUCAAUCUGCCAUACACAUUGCUACUAAUCCUAUUUUCCAUGAACGCACAAAACAUAUUGAGGUGGACUGUCAUUUUGUGCGUGAUCAAGUCAACUCAGGCUUCAUUAAGCUGUUUCAUGUAUCUACUUCUCGGCAACUGGCUGAUUUGCUCACCAAGCCUCUAACUGGCACUGCCCUACAUCCGCUGCUGUCCAAGUUGAAGGUGGUGUCCCCCUCCAACUUGAGGGGGGGUGUUGACUUACAAGAUUACAUGGCUUCUAAGUUGCUCACCAAGCCUCUAACUGGCACUGCCCUACAUCCGCUGCUGUCCAAGUUGAAGGUGGUGUCCCCCUCCAACUUGAGGGGGGGUGUUGACUUAAAAGAUUACAUGGCUUCUAAGUCAUUUCAAUAGUUGUGUAAUUGUAUAUUAUUUUGUAUAUUUGAUGUAUAUAGAGUGUAUAUAUAAUGGGCAGUGAUGAUAUAUGUUCUGGGCUCAUGUGUUGAGCCACUGACACUUAUGAGCCUAAUGGGUCAUAUCUGAGCCCGGGUCAUUUGACCCAAUAUCCGACCCAGUCCGGUCCAAUUCUUAUUUGUACAUAUGGUGUAGAGGAGAAGGUUCUACACAUCAGAUAUUUUCAUUUCAUUUCCCAACAACCGACUCUUCGGUUAUCUCAAUCUCUCCUCCUUCUCUCUACUUUCUCUCUCUAGUUUCUCUGUGAUUUUAUCGAUUAAUCUGAAUAUUGAC
This 927-nucleotide long non-coding RNA is filed under the name Nicotiana benthamiana. Its description in RNAcentral is "long non-coding RNA (NBEN_LNC035054)". The record is from RNAcentral. Lineage: Eukaryota; Viridiplantae; Streptophyta; Magnoliopsida; Solanales; Solanaceae.